GCUGCAGCGUAGGCAGAGGUGCUCUGGGUUGGUUCUGCUGCCGGGCGCAGGUCCGCGAAGGGGAUGUGGUUGCAUGCUGGAGAGUUUUGUUUGCUGAUGGUGGUUAUAACUGUGAUUCCUCUGAGGGGUUUGCAGAGCUAGGCCCUCGGCUGAUUUUCUGGCUGCAGAGCUCAGAGCCUGGCAGCAGCCUGGCGGGCGAGCCCCCAACAGCAGGACGCGCACAGACACCGAUGGGCCCCGUUCCAUCGUCUCCACGCAGGCCAGACCAAAGGCCCACCCAGCCCAGGGUCCGGUCUGCCACAGCGGCCAGGGCCAGCUGCCCUCGGGGGAUGGAACGGGGAAUCCGCACGUGGCCCCUCCCGGUCACCCGUUCCCAGCCUGGGACACGCAGAGGCCGGGGACACCCCCCUGCCCGUUGGUCUGACCCAGGAUUGCUGAGCUUUGGUUCAGGUUAUUUCACCUCGUCUCUGGUUCAUUCCUAGCCCCUGCACUGGCCGGGCUGCGGUGGCAGGCGAUACGGGUUGAACCUCUCUCAUCCGGCACCAUCGGGACCAGACCGGUUCCAAACACGAGCGUUUUCCGGACCAUGGAGCCUUUCCUGCAGCUUGCAUGGCGCUCGGCGGCCCCGGCCCUCCCCGCCAGCCCGUAGUCUCGGCCGGGCGCCAGCCCCCAGAAGCCGGGCGGGGAGCCGCACGAGAUGGGCACUCUCCUUGGGCUCUGCAGCCUGCCGUUUGUUUUGAAAACCAACCACCCCGAAGUCAGCGUGGGAAGGAGCUGUGAAUGAGACAAGGCAGAAACGACCCAGGAAAGGUGCUUUUGUGCCCAGGGUUGGGUUGCAAUAUGGCGAUGGGAUACGCCGGGUGCAGCGCCUCCCCCGGGCCGUGGCUGUUUUCCUCUCUAAUCUCUCUGCGCGUCCCAGUGACGCUCGCCAGCCUGGGCAGGUGGUCGGUGAUGUAUCUGCCACUACAGCCUAGAGCCUGGAGUUACCGUCCGUCGAUUCAAUGGCACAAUUUGGUUCAUUUAAGGUUUUUACUGAAUUUGAUUCUAUGCUCUUUCACACAGCGCCACGCCCCCACCCGCGCGGUGCGCUCUGUCCUGCCGCUGUCUUUUGUGCCCUGGUACGACUGUAUCCCUCUGUCCACAUGCCACCUCGUUUCUGUGAUGCCUGUUCCAUCCAUAGCCUCCUUUCACACCAGGCGAGACGGUGAACUAGCGUUAUUUCGAUUUCUCGGGUUCGUAUUAAGCACUGAAAAUUGCCACUUUUUAGCUGCCUGCUAUAAGCUCCUGUGAUUGGGCGGGACUGGUUUUUUCAUUUGUCUGUUUCUCAUCAGCUCUUACCUGCAUUUUAUCGCUUCCAUCCUCCCCUCCUCACCAGGAUACAGAGAAGCUCUGGCAAUAGACCUUCCCCUAAGGCUGUCUCUGCCUAGUCCAGGGGUUCCCAACCUUUUUUGGUCCCCGUACUCCCUUGGCUUUUAGUGAACCUUCCCGUACCCCCUAGUCAAUAGGAAAGGAAAUCAAUUCCAGACUCUGGAAUCCACAACCUUUUUCACUAACUCUGCUACUUUU
Non-coding RNA from Pelodiscus sinensis (Chinese soft-shelled turtle), 1566 nucleotides. Lineage: Eukaryota; Metazoa; Chordata; Testudines; Trionychidae. The record is from RefSeq and is a predicted model, not a curated record.